UGGGGAAUAUUGCACAAUGGGCGCAAGCCUGAUGCAGCCAUGCCGCGUGUAUGAAGAAGGCCUUCGGGUUGUAAAGUACUUUCAGUCGGGAGGAAGGUGUCAAGGUUAAUAACCUUGGCAAUUGACGUUACCGACAGAAGAAGCACCGGCUAACUCCGUGCCAGCAGCCGCGGUAAUACGUAGGUGGCAAGCGUUGUCCGGAUGUAUUGGGCGUAAAGCGAGCGCAGGCGGUUUCUUAAGUCUGAUGUGAAAGCCCCCGGCUCAACCGGGGAGGGUCAUUGGAAACUGGGAGACUUGAGUGCAGAAGAGGAGAGUGGAAGUCCAUGUGUAGCGGUGAAAUGCGUAGAUAUAUGGAGGAACACCAGUGGCGAAGGCGGCUCUCUGGUCUGUAACUGACGCUGAGGCUCGAAAGCGUGGGGAGCAAACAGG
Molecule: ribosomal RNA, 429 nt
Filed under: Chloroflexota bacterium
Lineage: Bacteria; Bacillati; Chloroflexota
Description: Chloroflexi bacterium partial 16S ribosomal RNA
Rfam family: Bacterial small subunit ribosomal RNA
Source: RNAcentral